Molecule: ribosomal RNA, 443 nt
Filed under: uncultured bacterium
Lineage: Bacteria
Description: bacterial SSU rRNA
Rfam family: Bacterial small subunit ribosomal RNA
Source: RNAcentral
GAUGAACGCUAGCGGCAGGCCUAAUACAUGCAAGUCGAACGGUGGUAGCAAUACCAUAGUGGCGCACGGGUGCGUAACACGUAACUAACCUACCUAUAACUGGGGGAUAGCCCGCCGAAAGGCGGAUUAAUACCGCAUAAGCUCUUUAGCUGGCAUCAGCUGAUUAGUAAAGAUUUAUUGGUUAUAGAUGGGGUUGCGGGUCAUUAGCUAGUUGGUUGGGUAACGGCUGACCAAGGCGACGAUGACUAGGGGAGCUGAGAGGCUGGUCCCCCACACGGGCACUGAGAUACGGGCCCGACUCCUACGGGAGGCAGCAGUAGGGAAUAUUGGGCAAUGGGCGAGAGCCUGACCCAGCCAUGCCGCGUGCAGGAAGAAGGCUUUCUGAGUCGUAAACUGCUUUUGACAGGGAAGAAUAAGCUGGUCGUGACCCAGUGAUGACGGUA